GACGAACCGUGCGAACGUUGUUCGGAUUCACUGGGCUUAAAGGGCGCGUAGGCGGUCCUGUAAGUUUGGUGUGAAAUCUCCCGGCUCAACUGGGAGGGUGCGCCGAAGACUGCAGGGCUUGAGUAUGGGAGAGGUAAGCGGAAUUCCUGGUGUAGCGGUGAAAUGCGUAGAUAUCAGGAGGAACACCUGUGGUGUAGACAGCUUACUGGACCAUAACUGACGCUGAGGCACGAAAGCGUGGGUAGCAAACAGG
Molecule: ribosomal RNA, 253 nt
Filed under: uncultured bacterium
Lineage: Bacteria
Description: partial 16S ribosomal RNA
Rfam family: Bacterial small subunit ribosomal RNA
Source: RNAcentral